GAUGAACGCUGGCGGCGUGCUUAACACAUGCAAGUCGAACGAAGAGCGAUGGAAGCUUGCUUCUAUCAAUCUUAGUGGCGAACGGGUGAGUAACGCGUAAUCAACCUGCCCUUCAGAGGGGGACAACAGUUGGAAACGACUGCUAAUACCGCGUACGAUCUAAUCUCGGCAUCGAGGAUAGAUGAAAGGUGGCCUCUACAUGUAAGCUAUCACUGAAGGAGGGGAUUGCGUCUGAUUAGCUAGUUGGAGGGGUAACGGCCCACCAAGGCGAUGAUCAGUAGCCGGUCUGAGAGGAUGAACGGCCACAUUGGGACUGAGACACGGCCCAGACUCCUACGGGAGGCAGCAGUGGGGAAUCUUCCGCAAUGGACGAAAGUCUGACGGAGCAACGCCGCGUGAGUGAUGACGGCCUUCGGGUUGUAAAGCUCUGUUAAUCGGGACGAAAGGCCUUCUUGCGAAUAGUGAGAAGGAUUGACGGUACCGGAAUAGAAAGCCACGGCUAACUACGUG
This 510-nucleotide ribosomal RNA is filed under the name uncultured bacterium. RNAcentral describes it as "partial 16S ribosomal RNA". It matches the Rfam family "Bacterial small subunit ribosomal RNA", at positions 28 to 507 of the family's 1533-position model. The record is from RNAcentral.